RNAcentral lists this ribosomal RNA (730 nucleotides) under uncultured bacterium. Its description in RNAcentral is "bacterial SSU rRNA". It matches the Rfam family "Bacterial small subunit ribosomal RNA", at positions 104 to 832 of the family's 1533-position model. The record is from RNAcentral.
GGGUGAGUAACGCGUAUCCAACCUGCCCAUCACUUGGGAAUAACCUUGCGAAAGUAAGACUAAUACCCAAUGACAUCCCACGAAGGCAUCCGAAUGGGAUUAAAGAUUUAUCGGUGAUGGAUGGGGAUGCGUCUGAUUAGCUUGUUGGCGGGGUAACGGCCCACCAAGGCAACGAUCAGUAGGGGUUCUGAGAGGAAGGUCCCCCACAUUGGAACUGAGACACGGUCCAAACUCCUACGGGAGGCAGCAGUGAGGAAUAUUGGUCAAUGGGCGAGAGCCUGAACCAGCCAAGUAGCGUGCAGGAUGACGGCCCUAUGGGUUGUAAACUGCUUUUAUAAGGGAAUAAAGUGGGUCACGUGUGACUUUUUGCAUGUACCUUAUGAAUAAGGACCGGCUAAUUCCGUGCCAGCAGCCGCGGUAAUACGGAAGGUCCGGGCGUUAUCCGGAUUUAUUGGGUUUAAAGGGAGCGUAGGCCGGAGAUUAAGCGUGUUGUGAAAUGUAGAGGCUCAACCUCUGCACUGCAGCGCGAACUGGUCUUCUUGAGUACGCACAACGUGGGCGGAAUUCGUGGUGUAGCGGUGAAAUGCUUAGAUAUCACGAAGAACUCCGAUUGCGAAGGCAGCUCACGGGAGCGCAACUGACGCUGAAGCUCGAAAGUGCGGGUAUCGAACAGGAUUAGAUACCCUGGUAGUCCGCACGGUAAACGAUGGAUGCCCGCUGUUGGCCAGAA